AUGCGAGCCUGUGCACCUAGGGCAGAGCCCAGAUUCCCUCUCAAGGUCUAGGUCCUGAUUUCCAGACUCACCAACGUUGGACGGGUAACCACAGAGGCUGUCUGUUCACGGGUUCACGAGGUAAUUGUGUUACAGCCGAACUUCGGCGUUUACUGCGUCAUAACGUGCGUUUUAUGAACUUUGUUUUUAUAGGAAUGCGUUUUAAGAUCAAUGAUUAAGAUUAAAUUACUUGACGGCAGUAAGACUUAAAAUUAAUGACGUUAUAAUAAAUUAUGUAUAUAUAAAACAAUUUAAUGUGCGUUUGGUGAUAAAAAAAAUUGGAAUUGCAAAUCGCACUGUGCAUGGAUUCAGAGUAAAACAUAUAUUAACAUCUCCUUAAACAGUAAGUGUUUUAGUGUACAUAUACAGUUUUCGAGUGAUAAAAUUUGUCAGUAACAAUCGAAAGAGAGCGUAUGCUCACUUACAUUAAUCGGGCUUUUUGGCUUCGUAUUUAAAUUACCUACCACCUAGCACUCUCAAUUAGUUUUCCCGCGAGACAAGUCACACUGUGUGAAUUAAGUAAAGAAAAGUUAAGUUACCUUUUUUACUUCGGCAGCUCUAAUGUUAGAAUUUUUUCAAGCAUUUGGACAAUUAUGAUCUUCUCUUAAUCCAGCUUAUUUCAAAGAGUAUCAAUAUCUAUCCAUACCGGCACACAUUCCAAAUAUAAAUCUCUAUUUUUUUUUUGGUUAAAAUUUUGCAAGCUAGUUAGGUUUUAAAAAACUAUCGGUUUCCAAAACUGGAAGAAAAUCCAUCUGAAAAUCGCAGCAUAUUUUAAAAUGUCUCUAAGUGUUAUAAAUUAAUCAUUUAACUCAUUAGUGAUGCAUUCAACGAAAUGUUAGAUCAAGAAAACCAAACCUGACGCUUUUUUUUUAGGAAGGAACGGGGUGGUCUAAUUCUAAAGUAAUCUAUCAGUCCUCAUUUGUAGCAGUUAUGAAAGUCGCAAGUCUCUUCGUUUCCACUGAUUUUAAAA
RNAcentral lists this long non-coding RNA (1009 nucleotides) under Bemisia tabaci. RNAcentral's name for it is "lncRNA ENSSSA3NGG003133". Lineage: Eukaryota; Metazoa; Arthropoda; Insecta; Hemiptera; Aleyrodidae. The record is from RNAcentral.